This 251-nucleotide ribosomal RNA is filed under the name uncultured bacterium. RNAcentral describes it as "partial 16S ribosomal RNA". It matches the Rfam family "Bacterial small subunit ribosomal RNA", at positions 15 to 263 of the family's 1533-position model. The record is from RNAcentral.
GAUCAUGGCUCAGGAUGAACGCUGGCGGCGCGCCUAACACAUGCAAGUCGAACGGACGAUGAAGAGCUUGCUUUUCAAAGUUAGUGGCGGACGGGUGAGUAACGCGUGGGUAACCUGCCUCAUACCGGGGGAUAACAGCCGGAAACGGCUGCUAAUACCGCAUAAGCGCACAGUACCGCAUGGUACGGUGUGAAAAACUCCGGUGGUAUGGGAUGGACCCGCGUCUGAUUAGCCAGUUGGCGGGGUAACGG